This 24-nucleotide small nuclear RNA is filed under the name Arabidopsis thaliana (thale cress). Its description in RNAcentral is "snRNA_13594". The record is from RNAcentral. Lineage: Eukaryota; Viridiplantae; Streptophyta; Magnoliopsida; Brassicales; Brassicaceae.
AUAGAUACGAUUGCAUUGCAUGUA